GAUGAACGCUGGCGGCGUGCCUAAUACAUGCAAGUCGAGCGAACAGAUGAGGAGCUUGCUCCUCUGACGUUAGCGGCGGACGGGUGAGUAACACGUGGAUAACCUACCUAUAAGACUGGGAUAACUUCGGGAAACCGGAGCUAAUACCGGAUAAUAUAUUGAACCGCAUGGUUCAAUAGUGAAAGACGGUUUUGCUGUCACUUAUAGAUGGAUCCGCGCCGCAUUAGCUAGUUGGUAAGGUAACGGCUUACCAAGGCAACGAUGCGUAGCCGACCUGAGAGGGUGAUCGGCCACACUGGAACUGAGACGCGGUCCAGACUCCUACGGGAGGCAGCAGUAGGGAAUCUUCCGCAAUGGGCGAAAGCCUGACGGAGCGACGCCGCGUGAGUGAUGAAGGUCUUCGGAUCGUAAAACUCUGUUAUUAGGGAAGAACAAAUGUGUAAGUAACUAUGCACGUCUUGACGGUACCUAAUCAGAAAGCCACGGCUAACUACGUG
RNAcentral lists this ribosomal RNA (497 nucleotides) under uncultured bacterium. Its description in RNAcentral is "partial 16S ribosomal RNA". It matches the Rfam family "Bacterial small subunit ribosomal RNA", at positions 28 to 507 of the family's 1533-position model. The record is from RNAcentral.